This 563-nucleotide long non-coding RNA is filed under the name Phasianus colchicus (ring-necked pheasant). RNAcentral's name for it is "lncRNA (ENSPCLG00000006335.1)". Lineage: Eukaryota; Metazoa; Chordata; Aves; Galliformes; Phasianidae. The record is from RNAcentral.
CUCAGCAAAUUUGUCUUGUCUCAACAGCAUUCUAACUACAAGACCGAUCGGAUAAUGCAGAAAAGAAAGCACAGGAGACAAAUGGUUUAUGACACUCCGGUUACCUUUACUGUGCAAGGUGGGCGUGAAAUUUUUUAUGGUGAGACAAAAAAGAUGAUGGGCAAUUAACUACAAACUCUUGCAGCAGGUUUAUCAUAUGCUCGGCUCAUCCAUCUGUGUCUCAGUCUCCGGUGGACUCAUGAGUUUCAUCAAGAAAACCAUUUUCAAACCAGCAGACCAAAACAGAUCGUUUUCAACUCCCAGCCUCAUCGAGGCUUUGCAGUAGUUUUGCCUCGCGUUUACGAUUUAUGGAUGCAACAAACACAGAGCAGACAGAAGUGGUCCAGAGAUCUCCCCAUCGCAGGGUGUGUGCCUCCAAACACCGCUCAUCCAGGUCUGAAGACGUAACAAGUACAGGCAUCAUCCCAGAGCUUAUGUUGGCUGACAGAAAGUUGCUAAUCCUGGUGUUUGAGGCUGAAAGCAUCCCCUGCCUUCAAACAGCAGCACGGCUGAGUGCACCAUGA